Scatophagus argus is the source of this 1085-nucleotide long non-coding RNA. RefSeq lists it as uncharacterized. The record is from RefSeq and is a predicted model, not a curated record. NCBI's taxonomy places the organism in Eukaryota, Metazoa, Chordata, Actinopteri, Scatophagidae. The transcript is spliced from 4 exons.
UCUUCAAAGGCAGGGUCUGGCCAGCCUUGUGCCGCAGAGAGCCGACCGUCUGCAGGUGGUUGUACACCGAGAUAAAUGUGUGCAUCUUUGAGAAAUUGGCUUGGUGACAUAAAGGCUACUCACAGGCACAAUGCAGGUGGAGAGUGGCAUCACUGGAGGAAUGAUCGGCCCAAAUGAGACAGAGAAGGGGAAUGCAAAAAAGAAUGGACACAGCAAACACACAACCAACACUGGUGGCAGAGGAUACCAUGCAAGGCGACCCCUCCCUGCUUAUUAAGAGAACAAAGGCGGAGCAUUUAUUUCACUGGCUCAACUCUCGGGAUUCAUGAUAUUCUGGAUGUCAAGACCUCCAAAUUGGCUUUUAGGUCAGAGAGUGCAGGAGAGCAAAGGAGAGAGAGCACUGAAGUGUUUCUUGUAGGUUGUGAAUCCAAACAGGGUGAGUAGAGAGAGAGAGAGAUGAGAGGGUAAAAAAUUAAAAGGUUUCUUAUAGAGAGGGAAUUUGAUACAAAAAAAGAAAAAAGUGAGAGCGAAAUAGAGUUGAUGUAUUUCCCCGGGGGUGAGAGCUGUCUUUUAGAUGACUGUUUGAAUAUUGUGAAUCUGUUCUCUAUGGAUAUCUAUCACUUCCCUGUGGAUGUGCGUUCCCUACCAGCCGCCAUUUAUCAAGGUAGACAGACCGGGAGAACGAAGGCGUGGCUGCAAGGCAGAUGGAGAGAGAGCAGGAAGAGAAAAGCUUUAUUUGUAAGGAAACGCUUUUGAAGACAGUGUGUAAGUAAUUGCUUACACAAGACGUGCACUAUUAAUGCAUUAUGUGCAUGAGAUAAGAGCUCUCUGUAAUUACACAGAUGGAAGCUUGGACUGGUCCAAUUCUAUCACACCAAAAAUGUAAGAAACAUCUUGUAUCAAAUGAAUUCAGUGAAUGAGAAUGAUGUUUGAACAAUAAUGAUAAUAAAAUUCACAUCGCUUGACAACUCAAAGUGGCUAUCUGAUUGCAGAGUUAAAUGCUGAAUCUGAGGUCAUGCUUGCGGCUCUGUUUAGGAUAGUCUCUACUACUGGGGGUCCCCAUGAGAUCUAUUGGAUUGAACACC